This is a non-coding RNA of Bactrocera oleae (olive fruit fly), 1557 nucleotides long. Lineage: Eukaryota; Metazoa; Arthropoda; Insecta; Diptera; Tephritidae. The record is from RefSeq and is a predicted model, not a curated record.
ACCGAUUUCUUUGACUUCUUUUGUUCGUAUUUAUCAAAAGAUUGUGACCUUCCUUUUCCAACGGACGGAAUGUCUGCAUUUAUAUACGUUAAAAUUUUCAUAUUUUUAAGUGCAAUAUUGCAACACACUAUCAGCUAAGCAUCAGCAAUAGACUAUCAGCCCUACAAGGCAGAGGUAACCAAUGCACUCCUACACUUGUAAAACUCUUACAUCACUAAAUACUGAAAACUAACGUUGUAAGAGUAGCAACAUUCAUCAUGCAUAAUUUUUGUAUGCGUAGAAAUAAGACGCACAUACAGAUAUACCAUUUUCCAUCAACAAUAGCCGGCAUUAUUUGGAAAAAUUGUUUGAGGUAAGCACUUUUUAUGUUCUUGAAUUGUAUGUUGUUUCUAAAGAAGUAAUUAAAUAUAAUUGCAUAGGACGGAGGAAAACUCUCAAUGCGCUGCCCGAGCUGGAAAUCGAGUGGGAUCUAUUUUGUCGCGAUCGUGAAGCGUUGCGUGAUAUUUUUCUCAAUGGUGAUUUCAAGACAGGUUGUCUUAUAUUCUGCUUUAAGGUUGGAAAGACCAAUUACUUACAUUAGCUUGCUACCUCUAGGCUGUAUUGCCUUGCAAUUUGCAGCGCAUGAUUUGGAAUGUGCGAUAGAUUUUCCACUUCAAUAAGCGCAUGCCCACAAAUCUGUCGCCGCCGCGCGUAAUUAGCGACAUAGGCGAUCUCUUGCAGAGCUGUGUCAUCUUGUCCAGCUGUGUCAUCUUGUCCAAUGAGAACGUCACACUGUUGUUUCAGUGUUUAGUUGGCUCGAUGCUUUGCACGAAGUACAAUAUGUAGCCGAGGAGUUCCGUCCAUCGGUCGAGGCGUUCUAAUGGUUGAUUGGUAAUAUUGAAACGCGGUUUCAGCAGGCAUUAACCAACCCUGGCGGAAUAGUAGCAGCUCCGGUCGCGCAAAGUUUGCAUGAACCUGCUAGAUAGAUAACACACAACACUUUUCAUUUACUGGUGUGUCGCCAAAUAACGUAGCAUUGAAACUAAAACACCCUCUCUAACAGUAUUCUUUACUGACUCAUCUCUGGGGAUCAAGAAAUCGUAAAUGUCUAUUAUCAGGUGCUCCAUUUUAUUAAUGACAACGCUGACAAAUAGGUGCUACGCAUACGUAUCAUGAAUAAUGAGGAAACUAAUUUCAAUGACGAAGAUGAAGUCAACUGCACGAGAUACAACCGAAGCACUUACACCGAGUUGUUCACCUACCUGCCGAUAUCUGUAUCCCUCCAGAACAAGAGUCACAAGCCGAGCGACUUCUGGGACAGAUAAAUGUCGCCUGGGAGGCAUUAUGGCACGGAUCAAAUUUUAAAAUCUGCUAUCAGUAAUUUCUUCUUUAAAAAUAUCGAAAAAGGGGUGAAUUUCCAUACCCUAGCACUUCUUCAUGGACUAAUUCUGAGUUGGGUAUACCAGCGGCGAAAGAAUAAAGGAGAGAGUAUUCAUACUUCAGAAGUGUUGUUAAGCUGAAUAUUACAGUUAGAUGGAAUGUAAAAUUAAAAAUGUAUAAAAUUUCAAAAAUAACGAA